UGGGGAAUUUUGGACAAUGGGGGAAACCCUGAUCCAGCCAUCCCGCGUGUGCGAUGAAGGCCUUCGGGUUGUAAAGCACUUUUGGCAGGGAAGAAACGUCAUGGGUUAAUACCCCGUGAAACUGACGGUACCUGCAGAAUAAGCACCGGCUAACUACGUGCCAGCAGCCGCGGUAAUACGUAGGGUGCAAGCGUUAAUCGGAAUUACUGGGCGUAAAGCGUGCGCAGGCGGUUCGGAAAGAAAGAUGUGAAAUCCCAGAGCUCAACUUUGGAACUGCAUUUUUAACUACCGGGCUAGAGUGUGUCAGAGGGAGGUGGAAUUCCGCGUGUAGCAGUGAAAUGCGUAGAUAUGCGGAGGAACACCGAUGGCGAAGGCAGCCUCCUGGGAUAACACUGACGAUCAUGCACGAAAGCGUGGGGAGCAAACAGG
RNAcentral lists this ribosomal RNA (429 nucleotides) under Acidobacteriota bacterium. RNAcentral describes it as "Acidobacteria bacterium partial 16S ribosomal RNA". It matches the Rfam family "Bacterial small subunit ribosomal RNA", at positions 355 to 776 of the family's 1533-position model. The record is from RNAcentral. Lineage: Bacteria; Pseudomonadati; Acidobacteriota.